CGGGGAAUAUUGCACAAUGGGCGCAAGCCUGAUGCAGCCAUGCCGCGUGUGUGAAGAAGGCCUUCGGGUUGUAAAGCACUUUCAGCGAGGAGGAAGGGUUCAGUGUUAAUAGCACUGUUCAUUGACGUUACUCGCAGAAGAAGCACCGGCUAACUCCGUGCCAGCAGCCGCGGUAAUACGGAGGGUGCAAGCGUUAAUCGGAAUUACUGGGCGUAAAGCGCACGCAGGCGGUUUGUUAAGUCAGAUGUGAAAUCCCCGCGCUUAACGUGGAACUGCAUUUGAAACU
Molecule: ribosomal RNA, 286 nt
Filed under: uncultured bacterium
Lineage: Bacteria
Description: partial 16S ribosomal RNA
Rfam family: Bacterial small subunit ribosomal RNA
Source: RNAcentral